GAUGAACGCUGGCGGCGUGCUUAACACAUGCAAGUCGAACGGAAAGGCCCAAGCUUGCUUGGGUACUCGAGUGGCGAACGGGUGAGUAACACGUGGGUGAUCUGCCCUGCACUUCGGGAUAAGCCUGGGAAACUGGGUCUAAUACCGGAUAGGACCACUUCGUAGUUGUUGUGGUGGAAAGGUUUUUCGGUGUGGGAUGAGCUCGCGGCCUAUCAGCUUGUUGGUGGGGUAAUGGCCUACCAAGGCGUCGACGGGUAGCCGGCCUGAGAGGGUGUACGGCCACAUUGGGACUGAGAUACGGCCCAGACUCCUACGGGAGGCAGCAGUGGGGAAUAUUGCACAAUGGGCGGAAGCCUGAUGCAGCGACGCCGCGUGGGGGAUGACGGCCUUCGGGUUGUAAACUCCUUUCGCCAAAGACGAAUUUAGGACGGUAUUUGGAGAAGAAGCACCGGCUAACUACGUG
Molecule: ribosomal RNA, 463 nt
Filed under: uncultured bacterium
Lineage: Bacteria
Description: partial 16S ribosomal RNA
Rfam family: Bacterial small subunit ribosomal RNA
Source: RNAcentral